AGGGUGUAAACGCUGCAGACUUGGUGUUGGAAGCCCUUUGGGGGCAUUCAGUGCCGGAGAGAAGUUGUUAAGUCUGCUACUUGGGGAGUACGUCCGCAAGGAUGAAACUUAAAGGAAUUGGCGGGGGAGCACCGCAACGGGAGGAGCGUGCGGUUUAAUUGGAUUCAACACCGUAAACUCACCAGGGAAGACUGUUACAUGAAGGCCGAGAUGAAGACUCUGCCAGAUUUUCAGAGAGGAGUGCAUGGCGUCAGUGACU
Molecule: ribosomal RNA, 259 nt
Filed under: uncultured archaeon
Lineage: Archaea
Description: partial 16S ribosomal RNA
Rfam family: Archaeal small subunit ribosomal RNA
Source: RNAcentral